RNAcentral lists this long non-coding RNA (2137 nucleotides) under Gossypium barbadense (sea-island cotton). Its description in RNAcentral is "long non-coding RNA (GBAR_LNC008298)". Lineage: Eukaryota; Viridiplantae; Streptophyta; Magnoliopsida; Malvales; Malvaceae. The record is from RNAcentral.
AAAGACACAGACUUAUUUUAAUGCUAAAAUACAUAUUCCUAUUUAUUUUCUUUUCAAAGCACAAAUAACCUUUCAAUUUAAAAAAAGAAACAGAACCCUUCAUUCUCUUUGGGUUCAUUAAGCAGCCGCCGAAACCACCAUCAAUUUGAUGGCUGACGGUGCACAAAUGGAGAUCAAAUCUUGCUGAGGAAGGCCUCGCCUACGAAGAUCUGGUAAGAGUACUCUUUUCCCUUUUUUUAAAAAAAAAAACUUUAAAAUCUUGUACUAUUCUGUCAAAAGCAAGGCGAAAUCCGACGAAAAAUAAGAGAAAACAACCCUAGCCCGAAUCACCAUUUUCCUGAGACAUGAGGGCUUUCAUCGGUGUUGUUUCAAGCAUCCUUUUCGUUUUCUAUGCUAAAAUAAUACGAGCAAAUCGACAGAAAAAAGGGAAAAUUUUGAAGUCACCUUUAGAUAACUUUCUUGAUUUCUUUUCUACUAUUUAGUAUAUGUAUUGUAGUGUGCGUAAAAAAAAAGGGAGAAGAUACAUUGAUAUUUCUUGGCUUUUUAUAGCCACAACAAAAAAAGAAAAAAUACAAGGUUUCUGCUUGUUUUUUGCUCUUGCAGUUGUGUCCGUCUUUUGCUUGUCUUCUUUUGCAGGUACGGAGGCAACGUGGCGGGGGUAGCUGGCGCGUACGGAGGCUGCUGGUGGCGCAACUGCUGCUAGGGCUAGGGUUUGCUGAAAUUUGGUUUAGAUAUUGGGCCUAUCGGGCCAUCAGGGUCAUGGGUUAGAGAUGGGGUUGAUUAGUUUUGUUUGGGUUUAUAAAUGGGCUAUUGGGUAUGAUAUGUAAUAGACUGAUAAUUGGACCAUUCAAUUAAUUUAUAUUUGGUUUAUUUUUAUUUAUUUUUUAUUUUGGUAGACCUGGGCAAAUUGGCCUGCUUACAAGUUUAAUUCGACUGAGUUAUAACAUUUGAAAGUCCGUAAGAACUGUAUGAAAUAUCUGAAAUUUUUGAUAUAUGAAUUGUUUAUGAGAUAACGUUAUAAUAGUAAGAACUGUAUGAAAUAUCUGAAAUUUUUGAUAUAUGAAUUGUUUAUGAGACAACUUUAUAAUAGUGAUAUUCGGGCUUUGAGCCUAGCAAGCCUUGUGCUGGUGAAUUAAAUGGGGCUUAUGCCUAGCAGGCUUAUUGCCGGUGUAUAAAAUUAGAUUUUGAGUCUAGCAAGCCUUGUGUCGGUGUGAAAUACAGGCUUAGGCCUAACAGGCUUUAUGCCUGUGAAUUUUUAUAAGUUUAUGCCUAAAACAUUUUAUGCUGAUGUGGUAAUUAAAUACGUUAAACGAGCUAAAUGAUCAGGUACGAGUUAGAUUGUUGUUUACUUAAGAUAAGGUAAAUAAGUAACUUGAUAUUUGUUACUAAUUAUGUGUGAUACAAAUGGAGAUUACAUGUGAAUUUAGUAUGUGUAUUCGGUCUUGUAAAUAAAUGGUAUGAAUAUUGUAGAAUUGAUUCUUAGAUAUGUGCAUAUAUGUGAUCAUGUAUAUUCGGCCAUAUAAGUGGUAUUGUACAUGAUGUUAUAUUAUGGUUCUUGAGCUUAUAUAAAUGCGUAUGUGUAUGUUUGAUUAUAUUAAGAUAUUUUGGCUUUGAAAGUUGAAUAAUAUUAGGUCAAAUUGAUUAAGUGAGCUUUUGGCCAAGGUAGAUUUCGUGUAUAAAAAUGUGAUAUUUAACUCAUUUGUAGGUUUGAUGUUAAGCUUGAUAAUGAUAAUAAAAUUUGGACUAGCUUAAAAUAAGUUAAUUAUAUCAUUGGGAUGUUUAUUUGCUUAUGACUUACUAAGCUAUUAUAGCUUACUUUGUGUUUUCAUGUUCAUUCUGUUUUAUAGAUUUUGGAUUCAAGUUACAAGCUCGGGGAUCGUCAGCAAAGUAUAUCACACUCUGUUUUCAGUAUUUUAUAAGUUACAUUUUGGAACUAUAGCAUGUAUAGGCUGGAAUGUGUUUUGGAAUGCUGUAUUUUGGUUUAUGUAUAAAGGCCAUGCAAAAAUGGCUUAAUCUUUAUGCUUGAGUAUGUUUUGGUUAAAUAAUGGUUUGAGUCUAUUUUACAUAUUAUGCCUACCUUGGAUGAUUAGAACUUGUGUUGUGUGUGUGCAUAUUGGGAUUGGUUGAUAAAUGAAAU